This 1060-nucleotide long non-coding RNA is filed under the name Cricetulus griseus (Chinese hamster). RNAcentral describes it as "lncRNA (ENSCGRG00015016292.2)". Lineage: Eukaryota; Metazoa; Chordata; Mammalia; Rodentia; Cricetidae. The record is from RNAcentral.
GCGGCGGCCAACCGCGCGCCCGCGCGCGUCUGGACGAGCCGCUGCCAUUCUCUUAGCCAGUCGUGACAAUCCGGCUGCGGCUGCCGCUGUCUCUAAAGCAGGGCCUGGCCUUGGCAGGCCCCCGCACAUCUGUCUCUGGCCCCACCGCUGGAGUCUCUCAGUUCCCGGAGGAUCCGAAGUUAGUGUCUACCCAGUUUCCUUCACUGAAUGUGCAGAAGAGAAGAAAACAAUGCCUUCACCAGUCCCAGGAGUUCACACAUUUUAUUCAGCAGACAUUUCCGAGAACCUAUUUUGUGAACAUACAGUCUACCUUGGGUUAAAUGUCAUCUUUAUGACCAUAAUUACUUCAUAUGUGCUGCAUAACCAGACCAGAAUAAUACUACUGAGCUCAAAGAAAGAGCUCAAAUUAUAAGUCUUAGAUCGAAUGGACUGGAAACAGGAAGUGUUGAGAUUUAUGGAUUCCAAAGCUGGAAGAAAUUCAAGAUGUCUACCAUUCAAUGAGUUGUCUGUCAUUGAAUCCUUCUACAAUACUCUUUCCUGCUUCUGAAUAAAGCUGAACAGACAGUAAAGACCAGGAAAUCCCUGCUGUGUGCUGGAGGAGGCAUUGAGAAGUGCUAAGAUGUGAAGUCUCAACCAGUAGUACUGUGAAACCUGCUCAUCAGGAGUGUGUGUAUGUAAAUGAGAUUGAUUGGGUCACGAGAUCAGAGAAUCUGGCCUGUCUGAAAUCUUCAGUAACUUAAUGACUUGAGCAGACAAUGGUGCAGAUAAAGUCCAAAGGCGAUAUUCUGAAGAAGGUGCUGUUGCUCAUGGAGACAGACCAUUUUGUGUUAUUUAAGCCUUCAACUAACUGGAUGAUGUCUACCAAUUUUAAUGGGGGGGACUUGGAGGAAUUGAGCUGGAACCAAACUGGAAGCCUCAUCUCUGAGGGCUGUGCCAGAAGAAGCUAUGCAAGCUGCCAAAGGAGAAAGGCAAUCUGUAAUUAUCCAGCUCUGAAGCCUAUGACUAGAAUGGCAAGACAUUCAGAAAGUAUCACUAUACUUACAUCCUGAUGGCAACCAAC